UGAGCAAUCUGCCCUUCACAUCGGAAUAACCAUUGGAAACGAUGGCUAAUACCGAAUAUGACUUCGGAUCGCAUGAUCUGAAGUGGAAAGCUCCGGCGGUGAAGGAUGAGCUCGCGGCCUAUCAGCUUGUUGGUGAGGUAAUGGCUCACCAAGGCGACGACGGGUAGCCGGCCUGAGAGGGUGACCGGCCACACUGGGACUGAAACACGGCCCAGACUCCGUAACGGGG
RNAcentral lists this ribosomal RNA (229 nucleotides) under uncultured bacterium. RNAcentral describes it as "partial 16S ribosomal RNA". It matches the Rfam family "Bacterial small subunit ribosomal RNA", at positions 118 to 346 of the family's 1533-position model. The record is from RNAcentral.